Molecule: ribosomal RNA, 459 nt
Filed under: uncultured bacterium
Lineage: Bacteria
Description: partial 16S ribosomal RNA
Rfam family: Bacterial small subunit ribosomal RNA
Source: RNAcentral
CCUACGGGGGGCAGCAGUGAGGAAUAUUGGUCAAUGGGCGCGAGCCUGAACCAGCCAAGUCGCGUGAGGGAAGACGGUCCUAUGGAUUGUAAACCUCUUUUGUCGGGGAGCAAAAGACGCCACGCGUGGCGUUCCGAGAGUACCCGAAGAAAAAGCAUCGGCUAACUCCGUGCCAGCAGCCGCGGUAAUACGGAGGAUUCGAGCGUUAUCCGGAUUUAUUGGGUUUAAGGGGUGCGCAGGCGGAAGAUCAAGUCAGCGGGAAAAUUGAGAGGCUAAACCUCGUCGUGCCGUUGAAACUGGUUUUCUUGAGUGAGUGAGAAGUAUGCGGAAUGCGUGGUGUAGCGGUGAAAUGCAUAGAGAUCACGCAGAACUCCGAUUGCGAAGGCAGCAUACCGGCGCUCAACUGACGCUCAUGCACGAAAGUGUGGGUAUCGAACAGGAUUAGAUACCCCUGUAGUC